UUUUUUGCUUGCAUAAGGCUACUUUCCUCGCAAUAAUAUUUAUGUAGAUCAGUUUUGAAUUGAUUUAGUCACUAUGCUAGAAAAUGAACAGCCUGUGAACAGAGGCUUUCACACAAUCACACCCAAUAUCCUUAGUUGGCAACCAAUGAGUCUGAAUCUAGACCAAAGGAAGGGAGCGCCACCGGACGCGAGCCACCGACAAUGCUGGAGGGACUAAGGGAGGGAGCAACAUCGGAUGCCAAAUCGAGCCAAAAGCGAGCGAAGCGAGUGACGAAGAUGGACCGAGAGAGUAUGCCGAACGCGAGCCGCGUAUGAUGCCGGAGAGGGGAGGACGUUGAACGCCAGACGUCGGACCGAGAGAAGAGAGUACGAGAGAGAAAUGUUGAUUUUAAGGGAGGGAGCAACAUCAAAGCGAAAGAACACCUCGGUGCCUUUAGUUCCAUUGGUGAAAAAGCAGAUUUUAACAUUCUUUUGAGUAUUUGGAUUUGUGUUAUUUGGUGUGUGUGGAAAGGAAUGAACGAAUGCAAGUUUAAUCAAGGUAGUUGGAGUAAAGACAACAUUUUGGCUGAGAUUAAAGCGAGAGUUUGGGGCUGGAUUUCUGCUUACAAGCUGCCGACUUCAUCCUCUGAUUUUAGAUCUUGGUUCCUGGGAGAGCAGAUUAUUUCUAGGCCUUGAAUUUCUCUUUGGAGUCCUAGCGUUGGAGUUGUUUUUGUCUGUUUGCUGGUUUGCCUUUCGCAGGCUCCUUUCUGUUUUUUUCUUGCUCUGUAAUCUGGUACUGCUUGUGCCGUGUUUUCCUUUUAAUUGAUGAAGUUUUUUCCCUGAUAAAAAAAAAGAGAGUACGAGAGAGAAAUGUUGAGAGCGGUUGUGCUUGUGCAGA
This is a long non-coding RNA of Salvia miltiorrhiza (redroot sage), 877 nucleotides long. RefSeq lists it as uncharacterized. The record is from RefSeq and is a predicted model, not a curated record. Lineage: Eukaryota; Viridiplantae; Streptophyta; Magnoliopsida; Lamiales; Lamiaceae. The transcript is spliced from 2 exons.